This is a small nuclear RNA of Sorex araneus (European shrew), 102 nucleotides long. The record is from Ensembl. NCBI's taxonomy places the organism in Eukaryota, Metazoa, Chordata, Mammalia, Eulipotyphla, Soricidae.
GUGCUCACUUUGGCAGCAUAUAUGCUAAAAUUGACACAGAGAAGAUUUGCAUGGCCCCUACACAAGGGUGACAUGCAAAUUCUUGAAGCGUCCCAUAUUUUU